Long non-coding RNA from Sardina pilchardus (European sardine), 511 nucleotides. RefSeq lists it as uncharacterized. Lineage: Eukaryota; Metazoa; Chordata; Actinopteri; Clupeiformes; Clupeidae. The transcript has 3 exons. The record is from RefSeq and is a predicted model, not a curated record.
CAGAGGCCGGCCAAUUGCACAUCUCGAAGGCUGUCCAGAGCACCUUUAUUGAGGUCAAUGAGGAGGGGAGCGAGGCAGCAGCCGCCACAGGUGGUGCAGCAGCGGUCAUCAUGAGCUUGCAGGGUCAUCGCUUUUUGGCUGACCAUCCCUUUCUCUUCCUUAUACGACACAGGCUUACGGGAGCCCUGCUGUUUGUUGGGCGCGUGCUGCAGCCGGAGCUGCUGGAGACCAGAGGACGCGACGCGCAGGCCCUCUGAGGCUCACUAAUAACUCUAAUGACCCACAUUAAAAAACACUUACCCGCAAAACGCCCCCCCGCCAAAGAAAAAGUGUGUGUUUGCAGAACGGAAAAGGCUUUGAAUUUCUCCAUUUCUUGGUUUCUCUCUGUUCUUUUUUUACUGUAGUCUCUCUCUUCCGGCUCCCCCGCACUCUGCCUUUUCCCUGCCAUCUACCUCUUCACCUCCUCCCACCCCUCUUCUUUUAUUAAUAAUGCCGCAGUUGUCUGUGUUAA